GACGUAGGGCGCGAGCGUUGUCCGGAAUUAUUGGGCGUAAAGAGCUCGUAGGCGGUUUGUCGCGUCUGUCGUGAAAGCUUGGGGCUUAACCCCAAGUCUGCGGUGGAUACGGGCAGACUAGAGGCAGGUAGGGGAGAACGGAAUUCCCGGUGUAGCGGUGAAAUGCGCAGAUAUCGGGAGGAACACCGGUGGCGAAGGCGGUUCUCUGGGCCUGUACUGACGCUGAGGAGCGAAAGCGUGGGGAGCGAACAGG
Molecule: ribosomal RNA, 253 nt
Filed under: uncultured bacterium
Lineage: Bacteria
Description: partial 16S ribosomal RNA
Rfam family: Bacterial small subunit ribosomal RNA
Source: RNAcentral